This 75-nucleotide antisense RNA is filed under the name Streptomyces sp. MMG1121. RNAcentral's name for it is "ASpks TB sRNA". It matches the Rfam family "ASpks TB sRNA". The record is from Rfam by way of RNAcentral. Lineage: Bacteria; Bacillati; Actinomycetota; Actinomycetes; Kitasatosporales; Streptomycetaceae.
CUUCAGCGACCCCAGCCACAGCGGCUGCCCGGAGGGGCGUUCCUGUCCGUACGUCGCCAGCAGCGCCUGCGCCUC